AUAACAAUACAGGGCGAAUGUCUUGUAAUUGGAAUGAUGGUGACCCAAACCCUCACCAGAGUAGCAAUUGGAGGGCAAGUCUGGUGCCAGCAGCCGCGGUAAUUCCAGCUCCAAUAGCGUAUAUUAAACUUGUUGCAGUUAAAAAGCUCGUAGUUGUAUCUUUGCGUUGACGGUUUGACCAUUUGGUUGGUUAUUUCGUUUUCGCUUUUGGGAAUUUCCCUUUUUACUUUGAGAAAAUUAGAGUGUUUCAAGCAGACUUUUGUCUUGAAUACUUCAGCAUGGAAUAAUAGAGUAGGACUUUGGUUCUAUUUUGUUGGUUAUUGAACCUUAGUAAUGGUUAAUAGGAACGGUUGGGGGCAUUC
Molecule: ribosomal RNA, 362 nt
Filed under: Babesia canis canis
Lineage: Eukaryota; Apicomplexa; Aconoidasida; Piroplasmida; Babesiidae
Description: SSU rRNA
Rfam family: Eukaryotic small subunit ribosomal RNA
Source: RNAcentral